GGGGAUUUAGCUUAGUGGUAGAGCGCUUGCCUAGCAAGCACAAGGCCCUGGGUUCGGUCCCCAGCUCCA
This is a non-coding RNA of Rattus norvegicus (Norway rat), 69 nucleotides long. The record is from Rfam. Lineage: Eukaryota; Metazoa; Chordata; Mammalia; Rodentia; Muridae.